UGUUGGCGAUAUACAGUCAGCGGCCAAGCGAAAGUAUUAAGUGAUGCACCUGGGGAGUACGCCGGCGACGGUGAAACUCAAAGGAAUUGACGGGGGCCCGCACAAGCGGUGGAGCAUGUGGUUUAAUUCGAUGAUACGCGAGGAACCUUACCAGGGCUUAAAUGUAGUUUGACCGGUCUGGAAACAGACUUUCUCUUCGGAGCAGAUUACAAGGUGCUGCAUGGUUGUCGUCAGCUCGUGCCGUGAGGUGUUAGGUUAAGUCCUGCAACGAGCGCAACCCCUAUUCUUAGUUGCCAGCGGUUCGGCCGGGGACUCUAAGAAGACUGCCAGCGCAAGCUGAGAGGAAGGUGGGGAUGACGUCAAAUCAUCACGGCCCUUACGUCCUGGGCUACACACGUGCUACAAUGGUAGAGACAGAGGGCAGCCACCUGGUGACAGGGAGCGAAUCCUUAAACUCUAUCUCAGUUCGGAUCGAAGUCUGCAACUCGACUUCGUGAAGCUGGAAUCGCUAGUAAUCGCGCAUCAGCCAUGGCGCGGUGAAUACGUUCCCGGGCCUUGUACACACCGCCCGUCAAGCCAUGGAAGCUGGGGGUACCUGAAGUCGGUAACCGUAAGGUGCUGCCUAGGGUAAAACUAGUAACUAGGGCUAAGUCGUAACAAGGUAGCCGUACCGGAAGGUGUGGUUGGAUCACCUCCUUAGAGUUUGAUCAUGGCUCAGUGCGGUUGGAUCACCUCCUU
Molecule: ribosomal RNA, 738 nt
Filed under: uncultured Flavobacteriia bacterium
Lineage: Bacteria; Pseudomonadati; Bacteroidota; Flavobacteriia
Description: bacterial SSU rRNA
Rfam family: Bacterial small subunit ribosomal RNA
Source: RNAcentral